RNAcentral lists this ribosomal RNA (484 nucleotides) under uncultured bacterium. RNAcentral describes it as "partial 16S ribosomal RNA". It matches the Rfam family "Bacterial small subunit ribosomal RNA", at positions 29 to 507 of the family's 1533-position model. The record is from RNAcentral.
AUUGAACGCUGGCGGCAUGCUUUACACAUGCAAGUCGAACGGCAGCGCGGGCUUCGGCCUGGCGGCGAGUGGCGAACGGGUGAGUAAUGCAUCGGAACGUGCCCAGUAGUGGGGGAUAGCCCGGCGAAAGCCGGAUUAAUACCGCAUACGACCUGAGGGUGAAAGCGGGGGACCGAAAGGCCUCGCGCUAUUGGAGCGGCCGAUGUCGGAUUAGCUAGUUGGUGGGGUAAAGGCUUACCAAGGCGACGAUCCGUAGCUGGCCUGAGAGGACGACCAGCCACACUGGGACUGAGACACGGCCCAGACUCCUACGGGAGGCAGCAGUGGGGAAUUUUGGACAAUGGGGGCAACCCUGACCCAGCCAUGCCGCGUGCGGGAAGAAGGCCUUCGGAUUGUAAACCGCUUUUGUUCGGGAAGAAAUCCUCUGGGCUAAUACCCCGGGGGGAUGACGGUACCGGAAGAAUAAGCACCGGCUAACUACGUG